UGACCAGAUUCCAGUUCAUUGACAGUGGA
RNAcentral lists this non-coding RNA (29 nucleotides) under Homo sapiens (human). The record is from RNAcentral. Lineage: Eukaryota; Metazoa; Chordata; Mammalia; Primates; Hominidae.